CACCUCACGCCGACCUCAAGUGGGGAAUGAGAUAUCCCAGGACAGCCUUCAGCGUGAAGAUCUAAUCAGCUUCAAUCCCCCAGUGAUGGAGGGUUUGGAUGCUCAGCUUGCAAAAUCCAAGCAUUUAGCAAAGAGGAUCGAUCAGGAUAUGGAUGG
This is a long non-coding RNA of Hordeum vulgare subsp. vulgare (domesticated barley), 156 nucleotides long. RefSeq lists it as uncharacterized. The transcript has 3 exons. The record is from RefSeq and is a predicted model, not a curated record. Lineage: Eukaryota; Viridiplantae; Streptophyta; Magnoliopsida; Poales; Poaceae.